CCUUCGAUAGCUCAGUUGGUAGAGCGGAGGACUGUAGAUCCUUAGGUCGCUGCGAAUCCGGCUCGAAGGA
RNAcentral lists this transfer RNA (70 nucleotides) under Saccoglossus kowalevskii. RNAcentral's name for it is "tRNA-Tyr". It matches the Rfam family "tRNA". From Rfam's summary of the family: Transfer RNA (tRNA) molecules are approximately 80 nucleotides in length. Their secondary structure includes four short double-helical elements and three loops (D, anti-codon, and T loops). Lineage: Eukaryota; Metazoa; Hemichordata; Enteropneusta; Harrimaniidae. The record is from RNAcentral.